UACGUAGGGUGCAAGCGUUAAUCGGAAUUACUGGGCGUAAAGCGUGCGCAGGCGGUUCUAUAAGACAGAUGUGAAAUCCCCGGGCUCAACCUGGGAACUGCAUUUGUGACUGUAGAGCUGGAGUACGGUAGAGGGGGAUGGAAUUCCGCGUGUAGCAGUGAAAUGCGUAGAUAUGCGGAGGAACACCGAUGGCGAAGGCAAUCCCCUGGACCUGUACUGACGCUCAUGCACGAAAGCGUCGGGAGCAAACAGG
RNAcentral lists this ribosomal RNA (253 nucleotides) under uncultured bacterium. RNAcentral's name for it is "partial 16S ribosomal RNA". It matches the Rfam family "Bacterial small subunit ribosomal RNA", at positions 524 to 776 of the family's 1533-position model. The record is from RNAcentral.